RNAcentral lists this ribosomal RNA (401 nucleotides) under Cercozoa sp. RNAcentral's name for it is "partial small subunit ribosomal RNA". It matches the Rfam family "Eukaryotic small subunit ribosomal RNA", at positions 582 to 975 of the family's 1831-position model. Lineage: Eukaryota; Cercozoa. The record is from RNAcentral.
AUUCCAGCUCCAAUAGCGUAUAUUAAAGUUGUUGCAGUUAAAAAGCUCGUAGUUGGAUUUCUGGUUCAGAGGGCUUGGCCCGUGGCCAAUUUAGGUUCACGAGUGCCGAUGCUUUCGUACCAUCCUUUCGGUGACGAUUCAGGUCCCCUUCAUUGGGUUCGCCUGGUUGUUCCGGAUCUUUUACUUUGGAAAAAUUAGAGUGUUUAAAGCAAGCUGUGUGUUGAAUACAUUAGCAUGGAAUAAUAAUCUAGGACUUUGGUUCUAUUUUGUUGGUUUCUAGCGACAAAGUAAUGAUUGAUAGGGAUAGUUGGGGGUGCUAGUAUUUACCGGCCAGAGGUGAAAUUCUUGGAUUCGGUAAAGACUAACUUAUGCGAAAGCAUUCACCAAGGAUGUCUUCAUUG